RNAcentral lists this ribosomal RNA (480 nucleotides) under uncultured bacterium. RNAcentral's name for it is "bacterial SSU rRNA". It matches the Rfam family "Bacterial small subunit ribosomal RNA", at positions 30 to 506 of the family's 1533-position model. The record is from RNAcentral.
UUGAACGCUGGCGGAAUGCUUUACACAUGCAAGUCGAGCGGCAGCGCGGGGCAACCUGGCGGCGAGCGGCGAACGGGUGAGUAAUAUAUCGGAACGUACCCUGUCGUGGGGGAUAACACAUCGAAAGAUGUGCUAAUACCGCAUACGCCCUGAGGGGGAAAGCGGGGGACCUUCGGGCCUCGCGCGAUUGGAGCGGCUGAUGUCGGAUUAGCUAGUUGGUGGGGUAAAGGCCUACCAAGGCGACGAUCCGUAGCUGGUCUGAGAGGACGACCAGCCACACUGGAACUGAGACACGGUCCAGACUCCUACGGGAGGCAGCAGUGGGGAAUUUUGGACAAUGGGGGCAACCCUGAUCCAGCCAUUCCGCGUGAGUGAAGAAGGCCUUCGGGUUGUAAAGCUCUUUCAGCAGGAACGAAACGGUGGCCAUUAAUACUGGCUACUAAUGACGGUACCUGAAGAAGAAGCACCGGCUAACUACGU